Molecule: ribosomal RNA, 202 nt
Filed under: uncultured bacterium
Lineage: Bacteria
Description: partial 16S ribosomal RNA
Rfam family: Bacterial small subunit ribosomal RNA
Source: RNAcentral
UAAUACGUAGGGGGCAAGCGUUGUCCGGAUUUAUUGGGCGUAAAGAGCGUGUAGGCGGCCAGACAGGUCCGUUGUGAAAACUGGAGGCUCAACCUCCAGACGUCGAUGGAAACCGUCUGGCUAGAGUCCGGAAGAGGAGAGUGGAAUUCCUGGUGUAGCGGUGAAAUGCGCAGAUAUCAGGAAGAACACCCGUGGCGAAAGC